AUCUUUCUGUAGUUCGUGAGCAUGAUGACUGGGCGUUCACGCCAUUGUGGGACCCGUGCCUCCCCCACACCUUGUUACGACCUUACUACGUGACCCGUUGGCG
Small nucleolar RNA from Hyaena hyaena (striped hyena), 103 nucleotides. RefSeq annotates it as small nucleolar RNA U13. Lineage: Eukaryota; Metazoa; Chordata; Mammalia; Carnivora; Hyaenidae. The transcript has a single exon. The record is from RefSeq and is a predicted model, not a curated record.